GGAUGAGAGCCGUACGGCUAGCUCCCCCCGAAUUCCCCCAGGGUGGAAACACAGCAAGGGUAGGAGGUUGUAGCGGCGCGAUAUGGUUUCUCAUCCGUU
Molecule: signal recognition particle RNA, 99 nt
Filed under: Bacteroidota bacterium
Lineage: Bacteria; Pseudomonadati; Bacteroidota
Description: Bacteroidetes bacterium signal recognition particle sRNA small type
Rfam family: Bacteroidales small SRP
About the family: The non-coding component of the signal recognition particle in Bacteroides
Source: RNAcentral